This 594-nucleotide ribosomal RNA is filed under the name uncultured Bacteroidota bacterium. RNAcentral's name for it is "bacterial SSU rRNA". It matches the Rfam family "Bacterial small subunit ribosomal RNA", at positions 122 to 715 of the family's 1533-position model. Lineage: Bacteria; Pseudomonadati; Bacteroidota. The record is from RNAcentral.
CAACCUGCCGAUAACUCCGGAAUAGCCUUUCGAAAGAAAGAUUAAUACCGGAUAGCAUACGAAUAUCGCAUGAUAUUUUUAUUAAAGAAUUUCGGUUAUCGAUGGGGAUGCGUUCCAUUAGUUUGUUGGCGGGGUAACGGCCCACCAAGACUACGAUGGAUAGGGGUUCUGAGAGGAAGGUCCCCCACAUUGGAACUGAGACACGGUCCAAACUCCUACGGGAGGCAGCAGUGAGGAAUAUUGGUCAAUGGGCGAGAGCCUGAACCAGCCAAGUAGCGUGAAGGAUGAAGGCUCUAUGGGUCGUAAACUUCUUUUAUAUGGGAAUAAAGUUUUCCACGUGUGGAAUUUUGUAUGUACCAUAUGAAUAAGGAUCGGCUAACUCCGUGCCAGCAGCCGCGGUAAUACGGAGGAUCCGAGCGUUAUCCGGAUUUAUUGGGUUUAAAGGGAGCGUAGGUGGAUUGUUAAGUCAGUUGUGAAAGUUUGCGGCUCAACCGUAAAAUUGCAGUUGAAACUGGCAGUCUUGAGUACAGUAGAGGUGGGCGGAAUUCGUGGUGUAGCGGUGAAAUGCUUAGAUAUCACGAAGAACUCCGAUUG